Molecule: ribosomal RNA, 519 nt
Filed under: uncultured eukaryote
Lineage: Eukaryota
Description: SSU rRNA
Rfam family: Eukaryotic small subunit ribosomal RNA
Source: RNAcentral
AGGGCACCACCAGGAGUGGAGCCUGCGGCUUAAUUUGACUCAACACGGGGAAACUUACCCGGCCUGGACACUGGAAGGAUUGACAGAUUGAGAGCUCUUUCUUGAUUCAGUGGGUGGUGGUGCAUGGCCGUUCUUAGUUGGUGGAGCGAUUUGUCUGGUUAAUUCCGAUAACGAACGAGACUCUAGCCUAUUAAAUAGGCUCUCGGCUUUUAAACGCCGGGAGGACUUCUUAGAGGGACAGGUGGCGGUUCAGCCGCACGAAAGAGAGCAAUAACAGGUCUGUGAUGCCCUUUGUUGUCCGGGGCCGCACGCGCGCUACACUGAAGAGAUCAGCGUGCUUUACGUUCCUGCUCCGACCGGAGUGGGGAACCCAGUGAACCUCCUUCGUGUUUGGGAUAAAAGAUUGUAAUUAUUCUUCUUGUACGAGGAAUUCUCCGUAUAAGCGAGUCAUAAGCUCGCGUUUAUUACAUCUCUCCGCCUUGUGCACACCCCCCCCUCUCUACUCCCCAGAUGAAAGUU